CGCCUUUUGAACUAUAAACAUAAAAGGUCCUGCCUGCCCAGUGACACUUGUUUCAACGGCCGCGGUAUCAUGACCGUGCAAAGGUAGCGUAAUCACUUGUCUUUUAAAUAAAGACCGGUAUGAAUGGCAAGACGAAAGCCUAACUGUCUCCUUAAGCUAAUCAAUGAAAUUGAUCUUCCCGUGCAGAAGCGGGAAUAAUAAUAUAAGACGAGAAGACCCUGUGGAGCUUCAAAAUUAAGCUAACAGACCAUAAUGCCUUAGCGUACAGUUUUGGGUUGGGGCGACCAUGAGGUAAAACAAAACCCUCGAGACGAAAACUAAGAAUGACACUUCAAAUAAAUAACAAUAUAGUAAUUGACCCAAUAAUUGAUCAACGAACCAAGUUACCCCAGGGAUAACAGCGCAAUCUACUCAAAGAGCCCUUAUCGACGAGCAGGUUUACGACCUCGAUGUUGGAUCAGGACCCCCAAAUAAUGUAACAAUUAUUAAAGGUUCGUUUGUUCAACGAUUAAAGUCCU
Molecule: ribosomal RNA, 518 nt
Filed under: Pseudoeurycea melanomolga (black false brook salamander)
Lineage: Eukaryota; Metazoa; Chordata; Amphibia; Caudata; Plethodontidae
Description: partial 16S ribosomal RNA
Rfam family: Bacterial large subunit ribosomal RNA
Source: RNAcentral